GGAAUCUUCCACAAUGGGCGCAAGCCUGAUGGAGCAACGCCGCGUGAGUGAAGAAGGUCUUCGGAUCGUAAAACUCUGUUGUUAAAGAAGAACACGUAUGAGAGUAACUGUUCAUACGUUGACGGUAUUUAACCAGAAAGUCACGGCUAACUACGUGCCAU
RNAcentral lists this ribosomal RNA (161 nucleotides) under uncultured bacterium. RNAcentral's name for it is "partial 16S rRNA". It matches the Rfam family "Bacterial small subunit ribosomal RNA", at positions 358 to 511 of the family's 1533-position model. The record is from RNAcentral.